GAGUCGGGCAAAGUGCGGGGUAGCCUUUGCCUAGGACCUCGAGAUGUGAGUCGGGCAAAGUGCGGGGUAGCCUUUGCCUAGGACCUUCGAGAUUGGGUCGGACCUUCGAGAUCUAAGUCGGGCGAGGAGCGGGGUAGCUCUUUGCCCAGGACCCUUAAGACAUGAGUCGAAUAAGACAAGAAUGAGGUAGCUUUUCACCUACUAGAUUUGAGAUCUUAGGCAAAGUAGCCUAGCGGAUUGGGUAAUAACUGAAUAGCAUAAGAGUAUUGCAUGCAUACCAUGAUUAGACA
RNAcentral lists this long non-coding RNA (290 nucleotides) under Ananas comosus (pineapple). RNAcentral describes it as "long non-coding RNA (ACOM_LNC041737)". The record is from RNAcentral. Lineage: Eukaryota; Viridiplantae; Streptophyta; Magnoliopsida; Poales; Bromeliaceae.